AAUGGCUCGUGAGCUGGACAUAUCACAACAUUCCAUUCGCCAAAUAUUGAAAAAAGAGCUCGGGGUAAAGCCAUUGAAAUUCCAUUGAAAUGCAAGAACUUACACCGCAACAGAAAGAAAAUAGACUCAAAAGAGCUAAAGCCUUGCUUCGCUUGGCCGAAAGUGGUAAACUGACGAAAUUCGCCGUUUGUAAACAAACAAAAUGAUCGUGUUUACUUGCCAAAGAGGUCAGCUGAAAAAAAUGUGGACCUUCGAUUGGCCACCAUAAGUCAAGCGCCGGCCAUGGUGAUGGUGUGGGCAGCCAUAACAGCCCAUGGUCGUUCUCCACUCGUAUUUAUCGACCGUGGCAUCAAAAUAAAUGCCGAAUAUUAUCGCGAAAAUAUUCUGGAGGGUGUAUUAAAGACUUGGGCACGCAAACUGUUUUGGUCUCAGACCUCGGACAUUCCAACAGGACUCAGCACCAUCGCACUCAGCACGUGCCACCCAAGAAUGGUUACAAAAUGGGGUUCCUCACUUCAUUUCCAGCGCACAAUGGCCACCAAAAUCUCCGAAUACCAAUCCGUUGGACUAUUGUGUCUGGAGUAUUUUGGAAAGCAAGGUUGGCACUGAAAAA
Long non-coding RNA from Musca vetustissima, 613 nucleotides. RefSeq lists it as uncharacterized. The record is from RefSeq and is a predicted model, not a curated record. The transcript has 2 exons. NCBI's taxonomy places the organism in Eukaryota, Metazoa, Arthropoda, Insecta, Diptera, Muscidae.